Vicia villosa (hairy vetch) is the source of this 565-nucleotide long non-coding RNA. RefSeq lists it as uncharacterized. The record is from RefSeq and is a predicted model, not a curated record. The transcript has 3 exons. Lineage: Eukaryota; Viridiplantae; Streptophyta; Magnoliopsida; Fabales; Fabaceae.
CUCUUUCUUUUGUCUCUCUUUCUCUGAUAUUGUUCUCUUUUGAUUUCUGUGCAGAUGAAUAUGAUUUUGAUGGAGACGGUGAACACGUUGCUGAUGAUAUCGUGAUGUUGAUGGUUUGUUUGCUCAACCUAUGGAAUUUAUGGUCGGAGUUGAAUCGUAUACGACGAAGAAGAUGCCGAUUCUCCUCAGAUUUUAGAGAUCUGUAACCGUUCAAUCGCAGCAAUCCAGAGCAAUUCGUUUUACCGAACCUUUUCAGAUCCCCUUUUCAUAUCGUCACUACUAUCCAUACCAUUGGUAAGAUUUUGUUACUAUGCUUUUAUUGAAUGUGUCUGAUUGUAUGGUUAUCGUGAUGUCCGUUAGAUAUGCGGUGUUCAGUUUCACGGUGGUCGAUCUGCGGUGGCAACAACAUGUUUCCGUCAGUGACUGUGGUGGUGGGAUUUAUGGUGCCAUGGCUGUUGCGGGGAGUUUUAUAUGUUCGAUUACCAUAAUUGACUCUUUUGGAGGUUUUCAUCUUUUAAUAGAUGUUGUUCUUUAAGAACUUGGAUAUGUCUUUCCUCCAAUUAUG